GGUAAGUACUGUUAAACCAUGGUUAAUGGGGUUUAGUAGAUGUUUCAGGAUCUCCAGUAAGUACCGUUCCACCAUGGUUAAUGGGGUUUUAGUAGAUGUUUCAGAUCUCCAGUAGGUACUGUUAAACCAUGGUUAAUGGGGUUUAGUAGAUGUUUCAGAUCUCCACAAGGUACUGUUAAACCAUGGUUAAUGGGGUUUUAGUAGAUGUUUCAGAUCUCCAGUAGGUACCGUUCCACCCAUGGUUAAUGGGGUUUUAGUAUAUGUUUCAGAUCUCCAGUAGGUACCGUUCCACCCAUGGUUAAUGGGGUUUUAGUAUAUGUUUCAGAUCUCCAGUAGGUACCGUUCCACCAUGGUUAAUGGGGUUUUAGUAGAUGUUUCAGAUCUCCAGUAGGUACCGUUCCACCAUGGUUAAUGGGGUUUUAGUAGAUGUUUCAGAUCUCCA
Oncorhynchus tshawytscha (Chinook salmon) is the source of this 442-nucleotide long non-coding RNA. NCBI's taxonomy places the organism in Eukaryota, Metazoa, Chordata, Actinopteri, Salmoniformes, Salmonidae. The record is from Ensembl.